RNAcentral lists this ribosomal RNA (557 nucleotides) under Candida albicans. RNAcentral describes it as "partial large subunit ribosomal RNA". It matches the Rfam family "Eukaryotic large subunit ribosomal RNA", at positions 84 to 655 of the family's 3401-position model. The record is from RNAcentral. Lineage: Eukaryota; Fungi; Ascomycota; Pichiomycetes; Serinales; Debaryomycetaceae.
UAGCGGCGAGUGAAGCGGCAAAAGCUCAAAUUUGAAAUCUGGCGUCUUUGGCGUCCGAGUUGUAAUUUGAAGAAGGUAUCUUUGGGCCCGGCUCUUGUCUAUGUUCCUUGGAACAGGACGUCACAGAGGGUGAGAAUCCCGUGCGAUGAGAUGACCCGGGUCUGUGUAAAGUUCCUUCGACGAGUCGAGUUGUUUGGGAAUGCAGCUCUAAGUGGGUGGUAAAUUCCAUCUAAAGCUAAAUAUUGGCGAGAGACCGAUAGCGAACAAGUACAGUGAUGGAAAGAUGAAAAGAACUUUGAAAAGAGAGUGAAAAAGUACGUGAAAUUGUUGAAAGGGAAGGGCUUGAGAUCAGACUUGGUAUUUUGCAUGUUGCUCUCUCGGGGGCGGCCGCUGCGGUUUACCGGGCCAGCAUCGGUUUGGAGCGGCAGGAUAAUGGCGGAGGAAUGUGGCACGGCUUCUGCUGUGUGUUAUAGCCUCUGACGAUGCUGCCAGCCUAGACCGAGGACUGCGGUUUUUAACCUAGGAUGUUGGCAUAAUGAUCUUAAGUCGCCCGUCUU